GUUAGGAAAGCAGCCAGGAGUAUUAACAACUCACAUUUAGACAUAGUUCUUUAAAGUCUUCAAAUUGCUUUCAUUAUUACAAUCACAGGAUGAGGCAAGGGGUGAAGGAGGUGGUGGAUACAGUAAAAGAAGCACUAUAGUGAGAGCCCCAGGUCCUGAGUUUGAAUGCUGACACUAUUCUUCAUUUCCUGUGUGACCUUGUGUAAGUCAGUACAUGUCAAAUUCCUUAUCUGUAAAAAGAACUAGACAACCACUAAGGUAGGGGCCUCCAGCUCCAGAUCUAUGAUCCUACAAACCCCAACUAACAGAUGAAGACCCUGAGGCAAAAAGAGGGUCAUUAUCUACUCCUGGUCACACAACUACUUUUAAGUGUGAGAUACAGGAAGAGAAGCCAAAUGACCCAAGUGGAGUUUAGCAUCAUCCCCACUCCAUGAUGACACCGCUAAAUCUAUCCCAGUCUAGCCUGGAUGCUAACUUCACCAGGGAGCACAGCGGCCUGCAGGUGAAUCUGCUGCAAAGCCACAGGCUGCUAAGGACACUAGAAGGUGAGGAACUAGAGGUGGGGAUACUGUUGGGACAAUCAGACACACUUGUCCUCUUUAGGACAGAGCUGAACAAGAAGUUGUUGUAGAAGCAUUUCAGACUCUCCCUGACCCCAUUUAAGGUUUUCUUGGGAAAGAUAAUGGAGUAGUUUGCUAUUUCCUUCUCCAGUUCAUUUUACAAAUGAAGAAACUGAGGUAAGCACAGUGCUAAAUGACUUGCCCAGGGUCACACAGCUAGCAAGUGUCUGAGGCCAGAUUUGAACUCACAAAGUUGAAUCUUCCUGGCUUCAGGCCUGGCAUUCUAUUCACUGCAUCACCUAGCUAACCCCAAACCAAGGGUCAGAUAUCAAAUAUUUCUCCUCUUUAACUAUCUGAAAAUACUCAGUUUUAAUUCCCUAAUGCCUCAACAUGCUAUUCAAGGCAAGAGUCUAGAAAACAAGUUUCAAAUUGAAGGUGAUUACAAACGUCUCUGAGAUAAUGCUCACAAUACUCAGGGCUCUGAUCAUGUCUCCAAAUUCAGUUUUGGAACAAAGAGCUUGGAAGCACAAACUUCUCUUGCCCCUAGCACAAAGAAGAUAAAACCAGGCAUGCUAUUGGAAAUAAAAUACUAUGUCCAAUGGGCUAUCAAACUGUGCAUACCCUUUGAUCCAGCAGUCUCACUACUAAGUUUGUAUCCUAAAGAAAUCAUAAAAGAGGGAAAAGUACCCACAUGUACAAAAAUGUUUGUAGCAGCUCUUUCUGUAGUGGCAAGGAACUGGAAAGUUAAGUGGAUACUCACCAGUUGGGAAAUACCUGAAUAAGUUAUAGUAUAUGAAAGUAAUAGAAUAUUAUUGUUCUUUGAGAAAUAAUGAGCAGGCUGAUUUCAGAAAAGCCUGGAGAAAUGUACAUGAACUGAUGCUGAGUGAUGGGAACAGAACCAAGAUAACAUUGUACACAGCAACAACAAUAUUAUGUGAUGAUCAACUGUGAUGGACUUGGCUCUUUUUAACAAUGAGGUGAUUCAAGGUAAUUACAAUAGACUUGGGAUGGAAAGUAGCAUCCACAUCCAGAGAGAACUAUGGAGACUGAAUAUGGAUUUUCACCUUUUUUGGUUUGUUUCCUUUUUUUUUUUUUCUUUUUCCUGGUUUUUUCCCUUUUGAUCUGAUUUUUUUUUUUUUUUUUUUUGGCACAGCACAAUGGAUAUAGAAAUAUGUUUAGAAGAAUUGCACACAUUUAACUUAAUGGAUUGCUUGCUGUCUAGGAGUGGGUGAAAGGGGAAGGAGAGGGAGAAAAAUUUGGAACACAAGGUUUUGCAAAGGUGAAUUCUGAAAACUAUUUUUGCUUGUAUUUAGAAAAAUAAAAUACUCUUAAAGGAAAAAAGAAAAAAAAAAAAAGCCUGGAAAGACUUACAUGAACUGAUGCUGAGUGAAAUAAGCAGAACGAAGAGAACACUGUACAUAGUUACAAGAUUAUGUAAUGAUCAACUGUGAUGAACUUGCUUCUUCUCAGCAAUGCCAUGAUUCAAGGCAAUUCAAAAAGACUUGGGAUGGAAAAUGCUAUCUGAAUCCAGAGAGAGAACUAUGGAGACUAAAUGUAGAUCAAAACAUAUAGUAUUUUCACCUUUUUUGUUUUUUUUUCUUUUUCAUGCUUUUUUUAAAUUUUGGCCUGACUUUUUUUUAAACAAAAGUUUUUUUAUUUUCAAAAUAUAUGCAAAGAUAGUUUUUAACAUUCACCCUUGUAAAACCUUGUUUUCCAAAUUUUUCUCCUUCCCUUUCCUUCAUUCUUCUCUCCUAGAAAAGCAAGUAAACCAAUAUAUCUUAAAUAUGUGCAAUUCUUCUAUACAUGUUUUCAUUUAUGCUGCACAAGACAAAUCAGAUCAAAAAUGAAAAAAAAAAUGAGAGAAAAAAAAACAAGCAAGCAACAAUAAAUUAAUGAUUUAUAUUGGAUUAUAUCCAACCCUGCAACUUGGAGAUAUGCUGUUGUGACGGCUGUGCAUUCUGAGAGCACAGAGCAAGAAUGCAGAGAUGUCCUAACUAGUCUCUCCCCCUUACCUUUAGCAGCUCCUCCCUUCCUCAUUGAUUAUUCUAGUCUCUUAUUUAACAUGACACCAGAAAACAGAUGACUAGAAUUUUUUUUUUUUAAUUUUCAAUAGUAUUUUAUUUUUCAAAUACAUGUAAAGAAAGUUUUCAACAUUCUUUCUGGAUGCAGAUGGCUCUCUCCAUCACAAGUCUAUUGGAAUUGGCCUAAAUCACCUCGUUGUUGAAAAGAGCCACAUCUAUCAGAGUUGAUCAUCACAUAAUCUUGUUGUUGCUAUGUACAAUGUUUUCUUGGUUCUACUCACUUCAUUUAGUAUGAGUACAUAUAAAAGUUUCUCCAAGCCUUUCUAAAAUAAUCCUGCUGAUCAUUUCUUAUAGAACAAUAAUAUUCCAUAACAUACAUAUACCAUAAUUUAUUCAGCCAUUCCCAAACUGAUGGGCAUCCAGUAAGUUUCUAGUUCCUUGCAAUUACAAAAAGGCAUGCUUACAAACAUUUUUUGCACACAGGGGUCCUUUUCCCUUUUUUAUGAUCUCUUUGGGAUACAGACCCAGUAGUGGUCUGAUUUUUCUUGUACAAUAUGAUAAAUAUGAAAAUAUGUUUAAAAGAAUUGUACAUAUUUAAUCCAUAUCAGAUUGCUUGCUGUCCUGAGGAGGAAGGAGAUAAGAAGAAAAUUUUGGGACACAAAGUCUUACAAAAAUGAAUGUUGAAAAUUAUCUUUACAUUUUUUUGAAAAUACAAUACUAUUGAAAAAAAACACCCAAUAUUUUGUCUCUGGUCUCAUGUUAAAUAAGAGCUAAAACAACCAAUGAGGAAGGCAGGAACUGCUAAAGAUAAGGAGGAGGAGGUUGGAACAUCCCUGUAUUCUUACUCUGUGCUCUCUCAGAAUGCGCAGCUGCCACAACAGCUUAGCUCCAUGUUGCAGGAUUGGUCAUAAACCAACAUAAAUCAGUAACUAGAACUCUUCUCCUAGAGGCAAGCAGCAUUCCCUUUGUUGUGUCACAGUUCCAACAUGAUCAAGCAUCUAAUCUCUUGGUUCACGUAUCCUAGAAAUAAGAAACUUACCAUCUUUUUAUUUCCAGUACAAACUUACCUGGAAAACAGGUAAUGAUCCUGGAAAGGUAGACUGAAACCUACUGAGAAACACCAAUGGAGUUUGAUCCUAAAGGCAAUGGAACUUAUAUAACAAAGAAGUGAAAAGGUUAAACUUGAUUGAAGGAUGGACUCCAGGGCGGGAGAGACUGAAGACAAAGAGGCUAAUUAGCUUAUGUGAAAGAUAAUGACUGUUUGAAUUACAAUAGUGGUGUAUUAAAAAAGCUCCAUAAGCACAAAGAA
This is a long non-coding RNA of Antechinus flavipes (yellow-footed antechinus), 3890 nucleotides long. RefSeq lists it as uncharacterized. The record is from RefSeq and is a predicted model, not a curated record. The transcript has 2 exons. NCBI's taxonomy places the organism in Eukaryota, Metazoa, Chordata, Mammalia, Dasyuromorphia, Dasyuridae.